RNAcentral lists this ribosomal RNA (289 nucleotides) under uncultured bacterium. Its description in RNAcentral is "partial 16S ribosomal RNA". It matches the Rfam family "Bacterial small subunit ribosomal RNA", at positions 28 to 339 of the family's 1533-position model. The record is from RNAcentral.
GAUAAACGCUGGCAGCGUGCCUAACACAUGCAAGUCGAACGCCCUGGAGCAAUUCAGGGAGUGGCGGACGGGUGAGGAACACGUGGGUGAUCUACCUUGAGGUGAGGAAUACCGGCGAGAAAUCGCCGACAAUACCGCAUAGGUUCGUAAGAACAAAGUCGCAAGACGCCUGAAGAUGAGCCUGCGUCCGAUUAGCCAGUUGGUGGGGUAAUGGCCUACCAAAGCAGCGAUCGGUAGCUGGUCUGAGAGGACGAUCAGCCACACUGGGAUUGAGAACGGCCCAGACUCC